GACGAACGCUGGCGGCGUGCUUAACACAUGCAAGUCGAGCGGUAAGGCCCUUUCGGGGGUACACGAGCGGCGAACGGGUGAGUAACACGUGGGUGACCUGCCCUCAGCUCUGGGAUAAGCCUGGGAAACCGGGUCUAAUACUGGAUAUGACUCCAUGACGCAUGUUGUGGGGUGGAAAGCCUUGUGCGGCUGAGGAUGGGCCCGCGGCCUAUCAGCUUGUUGGUGGGGGAUGGCCUACCAAGGCGACGACGGGUAGCCGGCCUGAGAGGGCGACCGGCCACACUGGGACUGAGACACGGCCCAGACUCCUACGGGAGGCAGCAGUGGGGAAUCUUGCGCAAUGGGCGAAAGCCUGACGCAGCGACGCCGCGUGAGGGAUGACGGCCUGUGU
RNAcentral lists this ribosomal RNA (391 nucleotides) under uncultured bacterium. Its description in RNAcentral is "bacterial SSU rRNA". It matches the Rfam family "Bacterial small subunit ribosomal RNA", at positions 28 to 421 of the family's 1533-position model. The record is from RNAcentral.